UUAAGCUGUAAAAAGUUACCUCCCUUUGUUUACUAUUCACCAUUUGUAAAACAGCAGACGACGAAUAACUGGUGCUUAUUUUCGUUGGAUAUUAAUGCUCUGGGUUCGGCAGCUGGUGUUAUAUUAAAAUUUCCUAUAUGGAGAUAUAAGAAGAUGCAGCUUGAUGAGAAAAGCAUGAUUUGGUUGUUAUCACCUGAUAAACUUAAUGAUGUGUGAAUGUAUGCAGCGGAAUUUUUAUGUUGGGGCUUUUUCUUCUUUCUAAAAUAGACGCAGCAGAUAUUGUUACAAAGAUUGCCCAAGCAUGUGGAAUAUUAUUUCUUUCUGUUAUUGGUACUGGACUUGAUGCAAACAAAGUUCUUACAGCUAAAUGGUACACAUAAAGUUUCCUAUCAUGUGAGUGAAUGUAUAAGUAACAACAAUUUAAUGUUUUGAUACAAGUUGAUUGACGUAUCAAAAAUAAGAAUAUAAUGUAACUU
Long non-coding RNA from Ruditapes philippinarum (Manila clam), 476 nucleotides. RefSeq lists it as uncharacterized. The transcript has 4 exons. The record is from RefSeq and is a predicted model, not a curated record. Lineage: Eukaryota; Metazoa; Mollusca; Bivalvia; Venerida; Veneridae.